Phalaenopsis equestris is the source of this 338-nucleotide long non-coding RNA. RefSeq lists it as uncharacterized. NCBI's taxonomy places the organism in Eukaryota, Viridiplantae, Streptophyta, Magnoliopsida, Asparagales, Orchidaceae. The transcript is spliced from 4 exons. The record is from RefSeq and is a predicted model, not a curated record.
ACUGAAGGCUUAUUUACUCAGAAAACUAUAGAAAUCACAGAUGAUAUUAUUUCUUCUUACAAAAACCAAGGCGGUUUUGAUUUGCUAGGCCGAACGAAGGAUCGAAUAAGAACAAAUGAGCAAAUCAAUGCUGUUAAAGUUGCAUGUGAAGCAUUGAAAUUGAACGGUCUUGUGAUUAUUGGGGGUGUAACAUCCAAUACAGAUGCUGCUCACCUAGCUGAGACUUUUGCAAAGACAAAAUGUCAGACCAAGGUGGUUGGUGUACCUGUUACUUUGAAUGGAGAUCUAAAGAAUCAAUUUGUGGAGACUGAUGUUGGAUUUGACACUGUAUGCCGGGU